RNAcentral lists this long non-coding RNA (527 nucleotides) under Homo sapiens (human). Its description in RNAcentral is "HSALNT0202151". The record is from RNAcentral. Lineage: Eukaryota; Metazoa; Chordata; Mammalia; Primates; Hominidae.
GCCGUUUCGGUUGACUUCGCCUGUGGAAACCGAAUUCCCCCUCCAUGGUUUCCCCAGGAUAUGAGUUGGGGGCCUCACCUCGCCUAUAAGGGUCAGGCGAGCUUUCUGGAUGCUCGAGGGACCUUUCGGCCUGCGCAGCCGGAGCAGCUUGUCCCAAUGCCCUGCCAUUUCUGUGAGGGCCCACGAGGCCUGGAGGAGCCUCGGAGCCCCCGCAGGCCCUCGCGUCACUGCCUCAAGAGGGUGCUCGGAGCCCUGCUCGGGAGCUGGUCCCCAACGAGGUGUGGAACCCCUUCUUGCUGGAACUCCACGGAGAGACUGGGUAUCAAGGCCAUUCAGUGGAAAAGAACAGUCUCUUCAGCAAGUGGUGCUGGAACAACUGGAUAUCCACAUACAAAUGAAUGAAGUUAGAUCUCUUCCUCACAUCAUACAGAAAAAUCAGCCUCAAAUGGAAGAAAUAUCUAAAUGAAGCCGAACACUUGAUAAAAAGUUCAUCAGCGUAAAUAAGAAGAAUCCCCUCCAUUACAUAC